GUUCCACCAUUUCAGAGGGUAGCAUAUGAUCAAGAACCAACGAUACUAAAGGAAGAAGUCCAAGCUGCACUGAAGGCAUUGGUGAAAAAUAAGGCUUCAGGAACUGAUGGAAUACCAAUUGAGAUGUUUCAACAAAGGGAUUCAGUGCUGGAAGUGGUCACUUGUCUAUACAAGAAAUUUGGAAGACAGCUACCUGGCCAACUGACCAGAAGAGCUCCAUACACAUGCCCAUUCCAAAAAAGGUGAUCCAACAGGAAUGCAGACUCUGGUUUAGACACUGCUUAUCUUCCCACCAAUGUCUGGAUGUGCAGGUGCGUGAGUGCGCUUGCGCAUACACACAUGCACACACUCCUCUUGCUUCUCUCUUUAAGGCCUGGGAGAAAGCUGCCUCAAGAUUGGAGUUUGGACAUGGUGACUCUGAUUUGGCCUGGACCAGCAAUUUCAUGGCUUUUGAACAGCCUUGGUACUUGAGGAGUGGCUUCAGGCAGCUCCAGGAGACCCUCAGCACCCUCUCCUUUGCAAGGAAGCAGACCUCACCUCUUCCAGAUCAGGUCCGUAGCUGUCACCUGCUAAUGACUUCCAGAACUUUCUCUGCCAAUCCCUGCCAGUGAGUGGCACGGCUCAGAGUAGGCCUCAGAUCUGCAAGAUGCUCUGCAGUCCACUGAGGACCCUCCCACACCCAUCUCCCAACCCAGCUGCUGGGGAGAUAGAAGUCACUCAGCAAGAGCACACCGGUCAUAGCCCUUUUCUCCUUUCUGGUCUGUCUUAGUUAGCUAGUGCUGCUACAACAGAAAUACCACAAGUGGAUGGCUUUAAUAAAGGGAUAUUUAUUCUCUCACAGUCCAGGAGGCUAGAAGUUGGAAUUCAUAGUGCCAGCUCCAGGGGAAGUCUUUUCUCUCUGUGGGCUCCGGUGAAGUAGAUUCUGAGCUCAGGGACCCAGGUCCAAAGGAUGCACUCUGCUCCCAGUGCUUCUUUCUUGGUGGUAUGAGGUCCCCUCUUUUUUGUGUCCCUUCUCUCUUUUAUAUCUCAAAAGAGAUUGACUUAAAACACAGCCUAAUCUUGUAGAUUGAGUCCUACCUCAUUAACAUAACUACCUCUAAUCCUGCCUCAUUAACAUCAUUGAGGCAGGAUUUACAACACAAAGGAAAAUCACAUUAGAUGACAAAAUGGUGGACAAUCACACAAUAUGGGGACUCAUGGCCCAGCCAAACUGACACACAUUUUAGGGGAACACAAUUUAACCCAUAACACUGUCCCUCAGGUCACUAAGUUCAAUGCCUGUCAGACUUUUCUGAGAAGCAGACUCCUUUUCCAAGCAAAAUUUGACAGGACACCAGGCCCCAGUGCAUACGACAGAGAAAAGCUGCACUCUACUAGUUUAUGUUUCUUUUCUAAGUUCACCUCUCCAGCAUGUUACCAUAUAUUGCUUAUAAAAUCAGAACACGAGUGGGCUCCGAUGUGUGAAAAUCAUGUAUCACUUCUAAACGCGUGUGGUGCUUUUUAUUACAAGUGUUCAAGUAGCCUGAAGCGUAUUUUGGAAAUUUGAAUUGAGCAUUGGCAAAAGCCAUGGCGCCCCCCUGAAAAAAUUCCAGGAUUUUGUUUAGCACAGUUUGAGCCCCCUGGAAAAUUCCCACUUUUUUAUUGGACAACGAAGACUGAGCCCCAGGUGGGAGGAAGGGCUGGCCACAGCAAUGAAACCUGGGUCCUCACCCUGGCCUUACAGUCAGAUGGUCUCCUCGAAGGGGUGGGGGCCAUCUCAGAUGGCUCUGUCAUUGGCCCACUUGGUAUUGGAUGACAAAGACUGCAUGUGGCUCUCAGGGUCAGUGGUUAGGAGGGUGGUGGUGGUGAGGGAAAAAGCCAGGUCCCAAGGCUUAGGGUGAAGGGGUUAGAAAGUCCGUGGCCCCCAUUUGGGGGCAGAAAGGGAGGAUAGCAGAAAGAUUUGGGUUGUCUCAUUUUUGGCUGCUCGGCUCUUGGUCCAAACAAAUUCUCCCUCUGAAAACAACAUGAUAAAGAUUUUCUCUCUGGCUAGCAGCCUCCUGGGCUAUGCCAGAGUCCAGUCCCUGUUUGUCCACAAAGAGGACCCCUAAGGCAAGAGGGAAUAAAUGACACAGUGGUUAAGAGCUUGGCUGCUAACCGAAAGGUAAGCAGUUCAAACCCACCAGCCGCUCUGCAAGAGAAAGAUGUGGCCAUCAGCUUCCGUAAAGGUUUACGGCCUUGAAAACCCUACUGGGGAGUCCUACUCUGUCCUAUAGGGUUAAAAAAAAAAAAAAAACUGAGUCUAAAUUGACUUGACGGCAAUGGGUUUAACACCUCUGGGUUUAAACACCUUGGGCCUUGGGCCAAGCCCUGGGUGUCCUAGUGAGUGGAAAAGCCUGGUCAUGGUCAUCUUUCCCAGCCUGUCCUGCCCCACCACGCCCUGAGCACGUGCCAUGUGCCACCACUGCUUCUUCCUCCAGAGCAGCUGCCAAGGUGCUGAGUCACUGGCUUGUUGUCAUCUGGCAUUCCCUGCUCUGGGAAGGAGGUGCCCAGCCAGGGUGUGGUAAAGUGUCCAGUGCAAACAGGCCUGGGGAGACCCACCUGCUCAGAAAGGUGCUCUUUCCCAUGGGGAAGGGGCUGCCUGCUGAGUAGGGGGACCCUACCCCAACCUUAGCCUAGGCUCCCUUCCAGGGACCAUGUCAUGGGGCCACAAGGCACAAGGGUCUUCCUUUACACAGAGUCCAGGCUCCAGGUGAAUAAACAGAGAGGGGUCUUAUUAGCUUCUCUCCUCUGCCUCCCAGGAAGUUUCCAUCAGAAGGGAGGUAGAAAGAAGGCCUCAGAAUGUGCUACAAAUUCCUGGAAGGCCCUCCCACUUAUUAGCUGUGGGCUCCACAGUGCGGCACUUAGAUUAUGUUUUUUAAGUUUUUUUUUUUUUCUUUUUUUAAAGUGCAUGCAGUUUAUUUUCUCUUAAAAACUGAACAGAAGCCUUGGGAUCCUCUUUACCCAGCUCCACUGUCCACCAGUAAGCCUUCCCAGAAACAACAGCUGGUAAUAGUUUGGGGAUAUCCUUCCAAAGAUAGUCUAUACGUAUUGUUGUUGUUGUUAGGUGUCCUCAAGUCGAUUCUGACUCAUAGUGACCUCAUGUACAACAGAAUGAAACACUGCCCAGUCCUGCACCAUCCUCACAAUCGUUGUUAUGCUUGAGCCCACUGUUUCAAUCCAUCUUUUUGAGGGUCUUCCUCUUUUCCGCUGACCUUCUACUUUACCAAGCAAUUCUAUGCAUACGUAAUGUUAUGAACUGAACUGUGUCCCCCGCAAAACAUUUAUCAAUUUGGCUAGACCAAGAUUUCCAGUAUUGUCUGAUUGUCCACCAUUUUGUCAUCUGAUGUGAUUUUCCCGUGUUUAAAUCCUAUCUCUAUGAUGUUGAUGAGGCAGGAUUAGAGGCAGUUAUGUUAAUGAGGCAGGACUCAACCUACAAAAUUAGGUUGUAUCUUGAGUCAAUCUCUUUUGAAAUAUAAAAGAGAGAAGGGAGCAGAGAGACAAGGGGACCACAUACCACCAAGAAAGAAGCACUGGGAGCAUGGUGCAUCCUUUGGACCUGGAGUCCCUGCACUAAGAAGCUCUUAGACCAGGGGAAGAUUGAUGACAAGGACCUUCCCUCAGAGCUGACAGAGACAGAAAGCCUUCCCCUAGAGCUGGCACCCUGAAUUCGGACUUCUAGCCUCUUAGACUGUGAGAGAAUAAAUCUCUCUUUCUUUAAGCCAUCCACUUGUGGUAUUUCUGUUGUAGCAGCACUAGAUAACUAAGUCACAUAAGUAUAAUAUAUAAUGUGUAUAUGUGUAUCUGUUCUUUUAUUUCUUACCUAAGUAUGAACAUAGUGUGCACAUUUUUCUGGAUCUGUUAUUUUUAUUUUUUAUGAUAAUGACAGAUUUUGGAGAUGGCUGCAGGCAAGGCACUAGGCCUUCACUGAAGGACAUCUGUUGUAACUCCAGCCUUUUCUCCUUUAAUGAAUAGUCAAGUAAGUGUGCCUGUUUUAACUCUAUUCUGCUGCAUUUCUAGUGGGCCCCAGUAUACCCAGGACAGUGGGGAGGGGACUUCAGGGGACAAGAAUAUCAAAGCACAUGAGCAAAUGCUGGCUUUCAAGCAGGGAGGGCAAUCCCACCAUGUUCUUUUAAGGAGGCCUCAAGUGAACAAUGCUACUGAAGAGGUUUAAAGAAGUGGGCAAGGUGGAUGAACAAGAUUUAUUUCUGAAAUUAUUUUAACAAGUUCUAUUAUGAUUAUAAAGUUCAGAGAAGAACACGCUUGGCAUUUCUCAAGCUGAAAGAACUGAAGAAUAAUUUCAAGCCUCAUGUGGCAAUAUUGAAGGAUUCUACAGGGAAAAUACUAAACAACACAGGAAGCAUCAAAAGAAGAUGGAAGGAAAACACAGAGUCACUAUACCAAAAAGAAUUGGUGGACAUUCAACCAUUCCAGAAGGUAGCAUAUAGGAGGAACCAACGGUACUGAAGGAAGAAAUCCAAGCUGCAUUGAAGGCAUUGGAGAAAAACAAGGCUCCAGGAAUUGGUGGAAUAUGAAUUGAUAUGUUUCAGCAAAUGGACGCAGUGCUGGAAGUGCUUACUCAUCUAUGCUAAGAAAUUUGGAAGACAGCUACCUGGCCAAUCAGCUGAAAGAGAUCCAUAUUUAUGCUUAUUCUCAAGAAAGGGGAUCCAACUGAAUGCGGAAAUUGGCGAACAAUAUCAUUAAUAUCACACACAAGCAAAAUGUUGCUGAAGAUCAUUCAAAAGCAGCUGAAGCAGUACAUCAACAGGGAACAGCCAGAAAUUCAAACCAGAUUCAGAAGGGGACAUGGAACAAUGGAUGUCAUUGCUGAUGUCAGAUGAAUCCUGGCUGAAAGCAGAGAAUACCAGAAGGGUGUUUACCUGUGUUUUAUUGACUAUGCAGAGGCAUUCAACUGUGUGGAUCAUAACAAAUUAUAGAUAACAUUGCAAAGAAUGGGAAUUCCAGAACACUUAAUUGUGCUCAUGAGGAACCUGCACAUAAAUUAAGAAGCAGUCGUUCAAACAGAACGAGGGGAUACUGAGUGGUUUAAAGUCAGGAAAGGUGUGCGUCAGGGUUGUAUCCAUUCACCAUACUUAUUCAAUCUGUAUGCUGAGCAAACAAUUCAAGAAGCUGGACUGUAGGGCAUCAGGAUUGGAGGAAGACUCAUUAGAUCACCUGCAUUAUGCAGAUGACACAACCUUUCUUGCUGAAAGUGAAGAGGACUUGAAGCACUUACUGAUGAAUAUCAGAGACCACAGCCUUCAGUAUGGAUUACACACCAACAUAAAGAAAAGAAAAAUCUUCGCAACAUCAAGAUAAAUGGAGAAAAGAUUGAAGUUUUCAAGGAUUUCAUUUUACUUGGAUCCACAAUCCACAGCCAUGAAAACAGCAGUCAAGAAAUCAAAUGAUGCAUUGCAUUGGGCAAAUCUGCUGCAAAAGAUCUCUUUGAAUUGUUCCAAAGCAAAGAUGUCACCUUGAAGACUAAGGUGCACCUGACCCUAGCCAAGGUGUUUUCAAUCACCUCAUAUGCAUGUGAAAGCUGGACAAUGAAUAAGGAAGACCUAAGAAGAAUUGAUGGCUUUGAAUUGCGGUGUUGGCGAAGAAUAUUGAAUAUACCAUGGACUGCCAAAAGAACGAACAAAUGUGUCUUGGAAGAAGUACAACCAGAAUGCUCCUUAGAAACAAGGACGGAGAGACUACGUCUCACAUACUUUGGGCAUGUUAUCAGGAGGGAUCAGUCUCUGGAGAAAAACAUCAUGCUUGCUAAAGCAGAGGGUCAGCGAGAAAGAGGACGACCCCCAAGGAGAUGGGUUGACACAGUGACUGGAACAAUGGGCUCAAGCAUAACAAUGAUGCAGGGCCAGGCAAUGUUUCAUUCUGUUGUACACCCUCCCUAUGAGUUGGAACUGACUCAACAGCACCUGACAACAACAACUUAUUAUAGGAAAUUUGGAAAAAGCACUGAAGAGAUGUGAAAAUAAAAGUCAAGGGGAAGCCUACUUAUUUGGAGGUAAUCACUAUUGAUAUUUAGUACAUUUCCUGCCAGGUUAUUUUCUAGAUACAAAGGAUUUCUGGUGGUCAAAGGGGACACGAAAGAAGGGCAUCCAGGGAGGUUCACCUGUGAGCAAAGGCAGGACUGCAGGGAGUCCUAGACCCUGAGAAAACAGUGAGUACAAAGCAGGAGGAUUUUAGGGGGCCACCUUACAGGUGAGCCUGGGGGUGGCAGGGAAGAAUUUGCCCCUAAUUUGGUGGGCACUGGGGAGCCACUACAGGCAUGUGGGCACAGAAGUGGAAGAUCAGCCUAGUGAGAGAUCCAAGGAGUCUGGCUUUGAUCUUUUGAGUGGAUAUUUAAGAAGAAAUACUAUCAGGCCUUUGUAAGAGCAGGUAUUGAGUUCCAGACAAAGGUUACCUCUAAAAACAUUAACUUGGGAGUUGUAAGAACAGAGAUUAGCCUGAGUGUGAAUGAGAUGGCUAAGAGAAAGGUGUGGCUUUAGGGCUGAGAGCACAGACUUGGCCUUAGGAAGGUCUUGGUCAUGUUCCAAAGAUACCACUUACCAACUGUGUGGUGCUGAGUAGAAGUAAACUUAUCCUCGCUGGGUCUCAGAUUCUCCAUCUGCAAAGGAUGGACGAUGAUAAGAAUCAUACGUACAUGAGUCAGUAUAAGGAUUAUAUGAGGUGAUGCAAAUAAGAGCCUAGCAUGGUGCUGGGCACACAGAAAGCAUUCAGUAAGUGUUGAGAGAAUAUAGACUGAAAGCAAAGAAAAGGCUGCAGAUAGAACGGUACCAGAAGUUGCUGGGAGGAAGAGACACCAUUAAAGUUUCCAGAAGAGAGCAGUUUUCAAGAUGUGAAGAGAGCUGUCCCUGCAAGAACAGUUCCUGGGGCUUCAGGAAGGAAGAGCUGGCCACAGUGCUAACCCUGCCUGGGAGCCAAGGAAGGACUCAGGACCUGGAAGGUUCUUGGUGGGUGGCGACUUCAGAGUCAUUGCUGUGGCAAUGUGGAGUGGAAGCCAGGGCCUAAGAGGUCAAGAGGUGGUGGGAAAAGAGGAAGUCAGUGGGGUGAGUUUUACAAGUCUUUAAAGAAGUUUGGCAGUGAAAGGAAAGGGGAAGGUCCUAGCUCUGGGGAAAGGUUGUAGGGAAGACAGAACAAGGAAUUUUGUUUUGUUUGGGUGAGAGAAUAUUUGAACACGUUUAUAGAUUGAGAAGAAGAAAUCAAUAGAAGUUCUCAAAGAGAAGAAGUGACUAAAGGUGAACUUCAGUGUCUUCAUUCUAAAAGUCAGGGUGUGAAUAAGUGAUCUCAGGUUGUGUUGUAUUUUUUAGCUAUUUGGCCCAUCUGUGUAUCUAUCUGUCUAUCUGUCUGUCUGUCAAUCCAUCUGUCCAUCCAUUCAUCCAUCUACCCAACCACCCAUCCUAUCAACACACACUCUCUAUAGAUGUCUGACCUGGACUAAGUCCAAAGAAGAGAGUGUUGGGGUGAAGGGGGAAGAGAGAGGAGUGGAGAGAGGUACAGAAGUAGAUCCUUCCAGGGGCAUGUGUUUAACAGGAAAAGUAGAGAGGACAAUCAGGCAGUGGCUUAACAACAUCACAAAAUGACCUCAAAACCCAUGUCCUUGUAGCCCUUUGUUAUCACAUUCUAACACUUACCCAAACCUCUGUCCCCGGUCCCUGGUUUGUGACCCCCAGCCUCUGACCUGCUUUUGUCUUAUUAUGAACAUCCCCUAUACUCAGCACUGUGCUGGGCCCACGGUAAGCAAUCACUGAAUUUGUAUUUCUUAUAUCCACUCAUUCAACAAGCAUUUAUUGAGCAUGUACCAUGUGCCAGACACUGAGGAACAAGAGUUAGCAAAACAGAUCCCUGACUUCAUUGAACCAGCUGGGGAGCAAGACCAUUGAAGAGUCACUAUAUAAAUUUAAAAUUGUAGCUGUCAUAGGAAAGAGUAAGGGUUUUUCACAGCUGGACAGGAACAGAGAAGGCCUCCUGGAAGAAGAAACUUGGGCUCUGAAAGAGGAGCAGAUGUUUACCAGGUGAAAGCAUACCAGCUGGAGCAUAGCCAUGCAAAGGCAGGGAGGGAGGACAGGAGUGUGAAAGAAAGGCAGUGUAGCCAGGCCAGGGAUAGGCUCUAGACAACAUGGGAGAGGCCAACAAGGCCUUGUAGACAAGGUAAGGACUUGACUUGUUCUUUAUCUUGAAAACAGUGGGAGGCCAUGGGAGUGGUUUAAGCAUGAAGAUGACAUGGUCAUUGUUUUGGUGCAAAGAGAUCACUGGGAAGAAGCAAGUUGCCGUUAGCAGUGCAGUUUGAGCCUCUUGUACAAUGCUGUGUAUCUGGAACUGGGAAGGGGCUGGCUUUCAUCUUCUAUUUCAGACAUUUCCGUAAUUUUUUUUUUAAGUAAUGAACCUGUUCUGCCUUUGUUAUCAGAAAAAGAAAGUACUAAAAAUUAUACAACUGCAGAAGAGAUUGGGAGCCAGUGAGGGACCCCUGCGAGCCCUGAAUGGUAUGAAUUGUACCCAAUACAGACAGACAGGCUGAGUGUGAUGGAGCUGGGCUCUGGAGCUGGGCUCUGGAGCUGGCUGUUAGCUGGUUUGGGGGUCCACUGGACUCUUUCCACCCCCAUGGGGCCUCUCCCAGGUUGUUUGGGCUAACAGCCCCAAAGGAGGUGCUCUCUGUGCCUGGGUAGCCCACUCCUCCAGGAAAAGUGUGAGGAAAGGAAAGAGGCUGUAGGCCUGAGAAGGAGGCCAUGUUUCCUGACCAUUGUUUUGAGCACAAAGGCUAAGGAGCAGUCUCCCAACUAGCUCACUUCUCCCUUGGUGCAAGCCUUGGGAAAUGGGGCUUCUCCCUGGGGGAUCAUUGUUCUCAGUCUCCAGCAAGGGCUAGGCCCAAGGGGAGUGUUUUGUUGACAGUGCUCAGCAACCAGGGCUGGGUUUUAACGGGAAGUCAAGUCCCCUGGAGAAAGGCCGUGCCUGAAAAAUCCCCAGCUUUCAUGGCACAGAGGGCAGACUGAUGGAGCCUAGGGUGUCUUCCCUUAGCUGCCUUCCCUUCAGGCAGGCUCUUCCAGAGGGUCUUUGCUUCUUUUUCCAGGGGACAGGCUGACCUCAUGGUCCUGGGUAGGGAAGGUCCUUCCCACCACUCUGAUCUAUUCUGCUAUGGGAUUUUUAAGAAGUCACCAGAAUUGCCCACCAAAGAGUGAGAAGGCCCAGGACCUGUGAGUUUUGAUGAUUGGGGGAUGGAGGGGCCAGGCUGCCUGUAAUGCUCAGUGGCCGUGUGUGGAGGGGAGAAAAGGCUUCAGUAGCCUGGCUAAGGAACCUCAGGUCUGGGCCUUCCUGGGAGUAGAGUCUGUGUUCACUGGAGCUGCGCCACUCUGGGAAGACAGGAACAUCUGGAGAGAUUGUAGAGCUGUUUCCAAAACAGAGAGCCUCAGCCCAAAUCUCAGAUUGUAGAAAGACAGUAGAAGUUUAGAAGUCUGAAAUAUUUUGUUUCAUGCCCAGACCUGCCUCUGUUUCCUCACCUGGAAGAUGGAAAUGAAGCUGCCUCUGUCUCAGAGCAUGGCUACUGGGAUUGAACAGGGUAACCUAGCAAAAGCCCAGCACAUAGCUCCCCUCCCCCACUUCUGUGACCUAUUUCCACAUCCCACUCCUUCCUCACUACUUCCCCUGCGUUUGGAGAUCCAGAUUCUAACUGAGAGCCAAGGGGGCAGGCUUGGGUAGGCCUCGUCCCUCUCUGAGUCUCUCAGUUUCCUCAUCUUACGAAACUGGGAGCUUUGUGGAAAGCCUGGAGGCAGGAGAUAGUUGUUUUUGCCUUAUAGGAAGUGGAGAUGCAACACAAAGACUCCAGCACCGGCUGAAAAGAUGACUCGCACUCUAAGAACCCAAGUAGCAAACACCAUCUUGUUCCCUCGCAAAUGAGGGUUAGAUGAUUUCAGCCACUCACAGGAGAUGUCCGAUCGCUUCAUCCUGGCCCAGAUUAGACAUUUACUAGGAGGAGUGGCUGGUUAGUGGGAGGAGGUUGGAUGGGAGUUAGGGAAGCCAGUGAGGGUCAUCUGCCAGGGGUCAAAGGGCCAGAGAGGUCGCUGAUGAGAAACUCCUGAACUGUUUUCCCCAUCUUUGCUCUGUUGAAACCAUUUUCUAGCACUCUGUUCUACAAAAUACUAGCACAAAUAUAAAAAAACAUACAUACCCAUGAGCAUACUCUUCACAAGAUUGCUUGUCUUGGCAGGAAGGAACCCAAAUGUCCAUCAAUAAAGAACUGAUUAAAACAAACAAAUGCAUACAACAUGCUGCCAAAGGCAUCCAGAUCUACCGAGACAGUAGCCCACGAUACAUUAUUAUGUGAAAAAGCAAGAAGCAAGAUUGUCUAUAUGGUAGGAUCUCAUUUUAUUACUACACAUGUUUUGUCUUAUAACUGAAUAUAGUGUAUGACAUAAUUACACACACACAUUUUAUUAGUAUAGAAAAUAAAAGCUUGGAAGGAUACAUACCAAACUUAACAGAGGUGACCUUUGGUGUGGAAAAGAUUUUUAAAUUUUCUUUUAUAUACUUCUGCACUGCUUGAAUGUCAUAAAAUCAUCCAUUGCUGUCAAGUCAAUUCCUACUCAUAAUGACCCUGAAGGAGAGAGUAGAGCUGCCCCACAGGGUUUCCAAGACAAUAAUCUUUACGAAAGCAGUCUGCCAUAUCUACAAAGUGGCUGGUGGGUUCAAACCACUGACUUUUUAGUUAGCAGCUGAGUGCUUAACCACUGCCACACCAGGGCUUCUGUCUUAAAAUUAGCACAUAUUAUAACUAAUUUAACACCCACUUCCCAAAUAAGCAAGAAAGAAACUGGAGAGGUCAAAUGGUCAACCUUCUUGGAGUAACCAGAGGAUCUGAGAUGAAUGUGACAAACAUCCAUGUUGCAGGAUGGAUGCCUCACAUGCAAUACAAAUGAAUGAAGCAAUAGAUCAUGAAAACAGUGGUGGGGGGACUGCUCCCUUUCCCUGGUGACCAGGGAUCCUGCCAGCCACACCCUGAUCCUCCAGUGUGGGCUGAGGCCCUCUGCAGUGUUCAGAAACCAACUUUGCUCCUCGGAGAAGGUGGCACAUGUGAGCUGGGUUCUUCAGGAGACAUGCCAAGUGACUAUUAACCACUUUGCAAACCCUGGAUGCUUUUGAAGCAUGCUGUUUCUUCAUUCUUGGCUACUCACUUAAGGAGCCCUUACUAAUGUUAGACAUAAUCAAUACUUGAAGAAAUUGAAGCAUGAGUUUUAUUUUGAGUAGUUAUUCUAUAUGCAUAUAGGGAGACCAUUCUGAUUCCAAAAAAAAAAAAAAAAAAGCAAA
This is a long non-coding RNA of Loxodonta africana (African savanna elephant), 11319 nucleotides long. RefSeq lists it as uncharacterized. NCBI's taxonomy places the organism in Eukaryota, Metazoa, Chordata, Mammalia, Proboscidea, Elephantidae. The record is from RefSeq and is a predicted model, not a curated record. The transcript has 2 exons.